UAAAGUGCGAUAUGUAGUGCGAUUUGCAUGAAUCUGUGAGUCAUCUAAUCUUUGAACGCAACUUGCGCCUCUCUGAGGCAUGUCUGUUUGAGUGCCGCAUACUCUCUGCAGCAAUGCGACAUGACUGUUGUCUCCGGACUCGGUCUAAACAAAGCCAGAUAGUGGCCUUGUGGGCUGUUAGGGUGCUAAGCAUUCUCUAACUGUCCCUCUGGGCCAUAAAAUCUAUCUCUACUUUGGCCUCAAAUCAGGCAAGACUACCCGCUGAACUUAA
RNAcentral lists this unclassified non-coding RNA (271 nucleotides) under uncultured fungus. Its description in RNAcentral is "sequence contains ITS1". The stretch from base 1 to 97 matches the Rfam family "5.8S ribosomal RNA", at positions 49 to 154 of the family's 154-position model. The record is from RNAcentral. Lineage: Eukaryota; Fungi.